GGACUACACGGGUAUCUAAUCCUGUUUGCUCCCCACGCUUUCGUGUCUUAGUGUCAGAAACCGUCCAGAUAGCCGCCUUCGCCACUGGUGUUCUUCCCAAUCUCUACGUAUUUCACCACUACACUGGGAAUUCCACUAUCCUCUCCGGUCCUCUAGUCGCCCAGUAUCGAGUGCAUUUCUUGAGUUGAGCUCAAGGCUUUCACACCCGACUAUGGCAACCACCUACACACGCUUUACGCCCAGUAAUUCCGAACAACGCUAGCCCCCUUCGUCUUACCGCGGCUGCUGGCAC
This 292-nucleotide ribosomal RNA is filed under the name uncultured bacterium. RNAcentral's name for it is "partial 16S ribosomal RNA". The record is from RNAcentral.